Molecule: ribosomal RNA, 1747 nt
Filed under: Salmonella enterica
Lineage: Bacteria; Pseudomonadati; Pseudomonadota; Gammaproteobacteria; Enterobacterales; Enterobacteriaceae
Description: partial 23S ribosomal RNA
Rfam family: Bacterial large subunit ribosomal RNA
Source: RNAcentral
CUGCGGCAGCGACACUCAGGUGUUGUUGGGUAGGGGAGCGUUCUGUAAGCCUGCGAAGGUGGCCUGUGAGGGUUGCUGGAGGUAUCAGAAGUGCGAAUGCUGACAUAAGUAACGAUAAAGCGGGUGAAAAGCCCGCUCGCCGGAAGACCAAGGGUUCCUGUCCAACGUUAAUCGGGGCAGGGUGAGUCGACCCCUAAGGCGAGGCCGAAAGGCGUAGUCGAUGGGAAACGGGUUAAUAUUCCCGUACUUGGUGUUACUGCGAAGGGGGGACGGAGAAGGCUAUGUUGGCCGGGCGACGGUUGUCCCGGUUUAAGCGUGUAGGCUGGUUUUCCAGGCAAAUCCGGAAAAUCAAGGCUGAGGCGUGACGACGAGGCACUACGGUGCUGAAGCAACAAAUGCCCUGCUUCCAGGAAAAGCCUCUAAGCAUCAGGUAACACGAAAUCGUACCCCAAACCGACACAGGUGGUCAGGUAGAGAAUACCAAGGCGCUUGAGAGAACUCGGGUGAAGGAACUAGGCAAAAUGGUGCCGUAACUUCGGGAGAAGGCACGCUGACAUGUAGGUGAAGUGAUUUACUCAUGGAGCUGAAGUCAGUCGAAGAUACCAGCUGGCUGCAACUGUUUAUUAAAAACACAGCACUGUGCAAACACGAAAGUGGACGUAUACGGUGUGACGCCUGCCCGGUGCCGGAAGGUUAAUUGAUGGGGUCAGCGCAAGCGAAGCUCCUGAUCGAAGCCCCGGUAAACGGCGGCCGUAACUAUAACGGUCCUAAGGUAGCGAAAUUCCUUGUCGGGUAAGUUCCGACCUGCACGAAUGGCGUAAUGAUGGCCAGGCUGUCUCCACCCGAGACUCAGUGAAAUUGAACUCGCUGUGAAGAUGCAGUGUACCCGCGGCAAGACGGAAAGACCCCGUGAACCUUUACUAUAGCUUGACACUGAACAUUGAGCCUUGAUGUGUAGGAUAGGUGGGAGGCUUUGAAGUGUGGACGCCAGUCUGCAUGGAGCCGACCUUGAAAUACCACCCUUUAAUGUUUGAUGUUCUAACGUGGACCCGUGAUCCGGGUUGCGGACAGUGUCUGGUGGGUAGUUUGACUGGGGCGGUCUCCUCCUAAAGAGUAACGGAGGAGCACGAAGGUUGGCUAAUCCUGGUCGGACAUCAGGAGGUUAGUGCAAUGGCAUAAGCCAGCUUGACUGCGAGCGUGACGGCGCGAGCAGGUGCGAAAGCAGGUCAUAGUGAUCCGGUGGUUCUGAAUGGAAGGGCCAUCGCUCAACGGAUAAAAGGUACUCCGGGGAUAACAGGCUGAUACCGCCCAAGAGUUCAUAUCGACGGCGGUGUUUGGCACCUCGAUGUCGGCUCAUCACAUCCUGGGGCUGAAGUAGGUCCCAAGGGUAUGGCUGUUCGCCAUUUAAAGUGGUACGCGAGCUGGGUUUAGAACGUCGUGAGACAGUUCGGUCCCUAUCUGCCGUGGGCGCUGGAGAACUGAGGGGGGCUGCUCCUAGUACGAGAGGACCGGAGUGGACGCAUCACUGGUGUUCGGGUUGUCAUGCCAAUGGCACUGCCCGGUAGCUAAAUGCGGAAGAGAUAAGUGCUGAAAGCAUCUAAGCACGAAACUUGCCCCGAGAUGAGUUCUCCCUGAGACUUUAGGUCUCCUGAAGGAACGUUGAAGACGACGACGUUGAUAGGCCGGGUGUGUAAGCGCAGCGAUGCGUUGAGCUAACCGGUACUAAUGAACCGUGAGGCUUAACCUU